UGUAGGCUUGUACUGAAGACAGAAUGUAGUAAGGUGAAGGCUGUUGCACAAAUUUCGUAAUGAGGAACCAAAGGAAAUCAAACAUGUAAAACAGAAAACCCAAACAAAUCAACCAUUAACAUACAUAAUAAAAUAACUUGCUAAGCAACAGCAGUUAAACAUCAAUUCAUGGAACAUUUUUCUGAUUAUAAGUAUCUUACUGCCUUAAGAAAACAAAGGACAGGGCAUUUAUCUGGUAGAAAAGUUUAGUUUGCUCUUGCUAUAAAAAGUGAGAUGAACAGUUAAUAGAUUUACAUUUUAUUCUACUGCACUUAAAUUCUAGAAAGUAGUGUAAUAUGGUCAAUUAGAAUUUUACAGUAAAAGCCCUACAGCUGAUGAUGCAGCCUCCAAGCGAGACAAUUAGAUGAAGAUACCCAACAGUUCCACAGGAGCCAGGUGAGUUACUUGUGGGCUUAAGCUUUCACUAGGCCUGGAUUUGAGAUAUCUGUGAACUCGCCUUCAGCUUCCAGCUGGCAGCAGCACAGAGACAUUGGUUCAGUUUCACUGCUUUAUCACACCACUUAACAGCUGUUUCAAAUACAGAACCUUGCCCAUCAAGGAACCACCAAGAAAUAUUUAUUUGGAAGAGUUCUAAUAACCAGCAGAUAUUUCUCAAAAACUGUCUACAUGAAAUGUAAUCCUCUUAAAUAAAGCUCAAAGUUGUUUUUUUAAGUAGUUAAUAGAAAUAAUUGAGAAAUCAAGACUAAAGUUUGCUCUCAAAUUCCAUCUUUCUACAACAGGCUAUGUGCACGCAAUCCCCAGCUGGAAUCCUAGGACUUUAAAUUUAUGUAAGUACUUAAGUUUUAAAACUAUAUAUUAAGAUUAAAGAGCUGCUUCUAAAAGGAAGAACAUUGGACUACUACUAGUCUAUCUGAAAAGAAAAAUCAGCUAGUUGAAAAUAUCUUAGGCCCACUACAAUUUUAAGAUUGGAUCAAUAUAUUUAAAGUUAAGAGAAAACUGCCAUUAACUACAAGUGUAAACUAAAAAUAGUUUUGUACUUACCAAGAUGCUCGAAUUUCUAGGUUAAGUUUAGCUCUUUGUAAUCUUUAGCUGCUAUUCAGGCUACCAAUUUUAGACUUAUGCACUCACAAUCGAGAAAAUGUCAUCAGAAAGCACCACUACACUUCUCAUUGUGCAUUUAACCCCUUUGUGCCAUCAGGCCCUUGUACAAUACACCGCACUGCAAACAGGAAGGUACCACCACUGUAGAUGGCCCAGUCUCCUGUUGCAACAAGGGUAAGACACAUGUAGGGGGCCCUGCAGUAAAGGAAGCUAUAGUGUGCUACAACAGUGCAACAAAGAGGUUCAGGAUAACAACCUGUUGGUAGCCAUGAAAUAGGAUGUCUGUGCCAAAUCCUUGCUUGCUGUAAGAAAAGAAAAACAGAGAGAUUAAAGAUCUGUGUUAACUUGUCAGGUUCAUUUCAAAAUUAAAGCAGAUUUACCUUCCAAAAGCACCGCUUGGUAUUUCCACAGAACUGAUCUGAAUUUAGCUAACUAACCUUUAAAAUAAUAUUUUCUGAGAUACAGAAGAGGCCUUUACAUUCCAUAACUGGACAUGGACCAGUCAUUCCAGUCACUGACCCUCCCCCUGUGCCACCCUCAGGACAGUUCCCCAUGGCUUAUCUACCCCGCCAAGGCCUCGCACACAAGUGCACGCUCUCCUAGGAAUACCUGCUGCCCACCCUCAUGUACAGACCAUCCCUAGCAUAACCUUGGCCUGCAGUAAGGCAGCCACUAAAAACCAGUUCAUAGCACAGUGCAAGUUCUGCUCUUGGAGAAGAGCAUGGCAGAGAGCUGGAGAACACCCCUCCCAUCCCCAGCACCUCCCAAAACCAGCCACACCUCUCUCCCAAAGCUCUACAACACACUAAGCUCCCAAGCUAGAUGGUAAAGAAAUGAGUUUUCAGCUCCCUCUAAGAGCACCAUAUUCAUAACAUUUUGUUCCACAUUUGUUAAAACUAUGGCAAAGCUUUGAUAAGAAAUAAAACAACUUCAUUUUGGUUACAGUCAGGAACAAACCGCACAAGACUGCAACGUGUCAGAAAUGAAAAGCUAACGACUGAGGCUGUAACAGCCACCCAGCACUGACCCCUACCAGUGAAACCCCAACGCUCCUCACUCAAUACUGGAGCAUCCUUGGAAUGGGCACUGAGGCUUGCUGACAGACUUUCAGAGAUCCACUGCCUUCAGAUUCCUUAGAGGACCUGUGGAAUCCUAAGGAAUGAUGGUCCUCUCUCCUCUUCUCAGUCUCUUGACACUGAGGAAGAACGGUGCAGAAAAAAGACUGAGCCCACACCAUUUUCCUUGUCUACUAUACUGACCAAGCUGUAAAGAUGGAACAAUUUCAUCAACCCAUGAGUCUCUGAAAACCAGAAGGAAUAAUUAGAUACUUUAUGCCUGAACAUCAUGAGUUAUUACGUAUCCAUCCAGUCACCCCUUAUCUACAGAGAUUUGUGUUGUCUAAUACUACCUUCAGAAAGGCUUUCAAUCUUAGAGAAGAAGAAUUCAACUUUUUCUUUAGUUGUAUGUUGAAGCAAUUAUGUUUAUUUGUACUAAUUCCUACUUACUAGUUCAUCUUCUGUUUCGCCACUACAAGACUAGACAGUCUUCUGACAAAGGACUUGGCUGAAUCUUUUGAGAAUCAUCAACAGAACCUGGUUUGGUUUUUUUUUUCUAUUUUCCAUUUUGUUUUUAAAGGGGACAGCUUACAGAUUAAUACAGGUAACAGUGACAGCAUAAAGCACAUCACCCUUGAUGCAAGACAACAAAAAGUGAUAUAGAGAAUCAGCCAUCCUCUUAUCCACCUAAGUUUAGCCCGCAAAAGGGCAUCUUCUUACCACAGGGCAAUUAAGUGUACAUGUACUAAGCCAAAACCUUAAGUACACCUGCAAGCCUCAGCUACCUUUGUUGCCUGUCUUUUGAUAUUAUGUAGUCAGCCACAUUAUAUUCCUCCCUCCUAUUCCCAGACAUACAGUUGGAGGUUUUAAUCAUAGCAGUCUUGAAUAAGUUAAUCACAUUUAAUAAAAAUGUAUCUCUGUCUUCUGAAAUAGUGCUUUUUGUCCAAGACAACAUGUUACCAGAACUGGAUGAAGCAACCUUGCAUUUCUUUAACUUCUCAGUCAAUCCCUUUAGCACUAAAGGCUUAGCACUGACAAGUCAUAUAUUUUGAAAGCUGCAGGACUUGAUAUCUAAGUGUUGCACCUAGUCACAUUAAAACAACACACUGUCCAAUAAAUAAAUGUUAAGGGAUGGAGAACUAAAAUCAUACCACCGCAUCUUUGAAGAUAUAUUGCUGUGCCCACAAGCCCAUCUCUUUAUUCACUCAAUACAAGAAUAGUGUUCCACAGCACUUAUUCUCUACUUGUUUGACACACAUGCAUGACUACAGAUUUCAUGCUCAAUGUUUUUAAUUUAUGGAUUAAUUUGUCAGGUUUUUUUCUUAAUAUGAGGUACUUGAGUUUUAUGUUCACAGCCUAUACCACCCCUAGGAGGGGCACAGGCCAACAAGAAAUCCAUUUGAAUACACACAUGCUAAGGAGCACAUCUACUCCAGUGAGUAGGUUUUCAAGCAUCAGAUGUAUUACAUUCACUUUGCACCAGUCCCCAAGGAACAUGGAUCUUGAGCCCUCCCAGGAGUCUUCAGAUUUCAAGACUUGGUAUGAUUUUAGAAUGUGCUGACAUUAAACAUUACCUUUAAAAUGUCAUUUAAAAAUUUGCAUGUACCUUCAGUGUGUGAAUUCUGUCAGUACACAAAAGUAGCACACAUAACACAAAGGAAAAAGCUGAACUGUCUUAGUGUGAUAUCUACCCUGGACUAAACGAAAUUAAGUCUGUGUUAAGUAUGCCCUUCUUGUGGGCUCAAGUCAAAUAUGCUCACUAGUGUGGAAAUCAUAAUGUAGCUACAACACUGCCUGCCACCCUCCCCACAGCCUCAGAUACCGGGUGGAAGUGCAGGGGCUCACACAAAAGGGAAAUACAUGCUCACAUGUAUAUUGAGCAACAGCUACGAAAAUCCAAAGCAAAACCCCACAGAGCUGCUGAUGCAGACUAUUGAGACUUUAGGUGUAAUUAGACUUAUGCAUUGAGUCACAACCAAGCCUGGACAGAAAGCAAAGAAUCAUUAUCUCAUAGCAAUAAAGCUUCUUUAUAUGAAAAUAAGUUACAGCACCAGUCCUACUCAGGAUCCACCUCUGAAGACAUUACACCAGUAAGCUACUUAAAAGUGAGAGAUAAUUUUCCUUCAAAGAAAACAGAUCUAGUUAAUAUGGUAAAGUUGUAUCAAACUUUCUUAUGUUUUAUAGAGAAAAACCAAAAAAAACACCUUUGAAGAACCUAACUUUGCAUUUUUCACUGUAAAAACAGCUAAUGACUAGAGACUGACAACCAUGGUCCAAUAAUUUCCAAAUACUUUUUAAUGAAGGAACACAAUUACAG
This is a long non-coding RNA of Athene cunicularia (burrowing owl), 4473 nucleotides long. RefSeq lists it as uncharacterized. The transcript has 2 exons. The record is from RefSeq and is a predicted model, not a curated record. Lineage: Eukaryota; Metazoa; Chordata; Aves; Strigiformes; Strigidae.